UGGCAUUCCUGUGCAGUACGAGAGGAACCACAGGUACGAACCAAUGGCCCCAUACUUGUCCGAGCGGACAUUGGGAUGAAGCUACGUUCGUCGGAUUAUGC
Molecule: non-coding RNA, 101 nt
Filed under: Clunio marinus
Lineage: Eukaryota; Metazoa; Arthropoda; Insecta; Diptera; Chironomidae
Description: Eukaryotic large subunit ribosomal RNA
Rfam family: Eukaryotic large subunit ribosomal RNA
Source: Rfam by way of RNAcentral